CGCUCUGGGACCUGCCCUUUCUUUGAAACGCUGUGUCCAGGGCAUGACCCCCAUAGAGACGUGGGCCUGGGUGGAGGCUGCAGCUUAAGAGGAAGCUCUCGGCGUCGGGGCCUGUGCCCUGCCGGCCGCCCUGACCUUGGAGGAAGCGGGCGCUGACACACUGUGGGCGACAGGAAGGGCCGGGAGCUCUGUGGCCGUUGGCAAGGCCAGGAACCCGGGUAGUCGAGCUGAAACUGUGAUCUGAGGCGCGAGGCCUCCGUGGGAGAAGGGUCGCUUCAGACGGGGACCGAGGGCCUGGCUCUGGGAAGGUGGGUCCUGCUCCCUUCUGAGGCAGGCAGAGCUGCAGGGAAAGCAGGUGUGUGGAGGCCCCUCCAGAGCCAGGCUCCAGGCGCUUCAGGUACGGCGCCCGUUCUGCUCCCUUCCCAGGCCUGCCCAGCUGCCCACCGCACGAAGCUUCACAACUGAGCGAGCAGCUCCUCACGGAAGGUUAGAUUCGGCGCGUUACGUCAUUACGUUCAGUGAAAGAACUGAGUGAGCAGCUCCUCACGGAAGGUUAGAUUCGGCGCGUUACGUCAUUACGUUCAGUGAAAGAACUGAGUGAGCAGCUCCUCACGGAAGGUUAAGUUCGGCGCGUUACGUCAUUACGUUCAGUGAAAACUGAGUGAGCAGCUCCUCACGGAAGAUUACAUUCGGCGCGUUACGUCAUUACAUCCAGUGAAAGAACUGAGUGAGCAGCUCCUCACGGAAGGUUAGUUCGGCGCGUUACGUCAUUACAUCCAGUGAAAGAACUGAGUGAGCAGCUCCUCACGGAAGGUUAGUUCGGCGCGUUACGUCAUUACGUUCAGUGAAAGAACUGAGUGAGCAGCUCCUCACGGAAGGUCGAAGCCGCUGGUCUCAGCUGUGUUUUCACCGGUUCCCU
Molecule: long non-coding RNA, 919 nt
Filed under: Homo sapiens (human)
Lineage: Eukaryota; Metazoa; Chordata; Mammalia; Primates; Hominidae
Description: non-protein coding lnc-KCNG2-1:2
Source: RNAcentral